CAGCAGCCGCGGGAACACAGAGGGUGCGAGCGUUAAUUGGAUUUACUGGGCGUAAAGCGUGCGUAGGCGGCUUUUUAAGUCGGAUGUGAAAUCCCUGAGCUUAACUUAGGAAUUGCAUUCGAUACUGGGAAGCUAGAGUAUGGGAGAGGAUGGUAGAAUUCCAGGUGUAGCGGUGAAAUGCGUAGAGAUCUGGAGGAAUACCGAUGGCGAAGGCAGCCAUCUGGCCUAAUACUGACGCUGAGGUACGAAAGCAUGGGGAGCAAACAGGAUUAGAUACCCGAGUAGUCCCUGUCUCUUAUAC
RNAcentral lists this ribosomal RNA (301 nucleotides) under uncultured bacterium. Its description in RNAcentral is "partial 16S ribosomal RNA". It matches the Rfam family "Bacterial small subunit ribosomal RNA", at positions 509 to 807 of the family's 1533-position model. The record is from RNAcentral.